This 260-nucleotide ribosomal RNA is filed under the name uncultured prokaryote. RNAcentral's name for it is "partial 16S ribosomal RNA". It matches the Rfam family "Bacterial small subunit ribosomal RNA", at positions 524 to 782 of the family's 1533-position model. The record is from RNAcentral.
UACGUAGGGUGCAAGCGUUGUCCGGAAUUACUGGGCGUAAAGAGCUCGUAGGUGGUUUGUCGCGUCGUCUGGGAAAUCCCGGGGCUUAACUUCGGGCGUGCAGGCGAUACGGGCAUAACUUGAGUGCUGUAGGGGAGACUGGAAUUCCUGGUGUAGCGGUGAAAUGCGCAGAUAUCAGGAGGAACACCGAUGGCGAAGGCAGGUCUCUGGGCAGUUACUGACGCUGAGGAGCGAAAGCAUGGGUAGCGAGCAGGAUUAGA